RNAcentral lists this long non-coding RNA (407 nucleotides) under Piliocolobus tephrosceles (Ugandan red Colobus). RNAcentral's name for it is "lncRNA (ENSPTEG00000018635.1)". The record is from RNAcentral. Lineage: Eukaryota; Metazoa; Chordata; Mammalia; Primates; Cercopithecidae.
GACAGCAUAAGUCUAAGGUCACAGAGCUUAGAUGCAACACAAGGUCUCUGAUUUUAAAGCACUUUUUCUUUCCCCCACUACCCCCAUACAGAACUCCAGGUCCAGGUGGGCUUUUUCCAUGGAGCCUGAGACUUAUGAUGCCAGGUGCCUGGACAAAGCUUCCAGGUCACUCCUAAGCAACACAACCUUAGCCCCUAUGGAGCUAGUGCCAGCUGUGUGAAGCUGUACAGUGGUGCAGCGUUAAGGGCAAAGAGCACUGUGGAGCCAAGGCAGACAAAGCUGCACAGAGCUCUCAGGCCUGGAUGAUGAUCCCUGUUCCCAGACAUCUGUGGAGUUGCCAUGUUGAUGUUCUCUCAUUGUUUCUGCUGAGCUGGAAUGAUCGAAAUAAUUCUGGGACUAUGUAUGAC